This 497-nucleotide ribosomal RNA is filed under the name uncultured bacterium. RNAcentral describes it as "partial 16S ribosomal RNA". It matches the Rfam family "Bacterial small subunit ribosomal RNA", at positions 28 to 507 of the family's 1533-position model. The record is from RNAcentral.
GAUGAACGCUGGCGGCGUGCCUAAUACAUGCAAGUCGAGCGAACAGACGAGGAGCUUGCUCCUCUGACGUUAGCGGCGGACGGGUGAGUAACACGUGGAUAACCUACCUAUAAGACUGGGAUAACUUCGGGAAACCGGAGCUAAUACCGGAUAACAUGUUGAACCGCAUGGUUCAACAGUGAAAGACGGUUUUGCUGUCACUUAUAGAUGGAUCCGCGCCGCAUUAGCUAGUUGGUAAGGUAACGGCUUACCAAGGCAACGAUGCGUAGCCGACCUGAGAGGGUGAUCGGCCACACUGGAACUGAGACACGGUCCAGACUCCUACGGGAGGCAGCAGUAGGGAAUCUUCCGCAAUGGGCGAAAGCCUGACGGAGCAACGCCGCGUGAGUGAAGAAGGUCUUCGGAUCGUAAAACUCUGUUAUUAGGGAAGAACAAAUGUGUAAGUAACUAUGCACGUCUUGACGGUACCUAAUCAGAAAGCCACGGCUAACUACAUG